RNA transcript from Sarcophilus harrisii (Tasmanian devil), 2486 nucleotides. RefSeq lists it as uncharacterized. NCBI's taxonomy places the organism in Eukaryota, Metazoa, Chordata, Mammalia, Dasyuromorphia, Dasyuridae. The record is from RefSeq and is a predicted model, not a curated record. The transcript has 3 exons.
UUUAAGGCCGGGUGCAGCGACGGUUGCUGUCCAGAUCGGUCCUGUGGCGGUGGUGGUGGGACGUUUGCGUGAACGGUUGAUUUUUUCGGAGUUGUUGGUUCCCGUCGAGACUCCUACGGUCGCGAUGGCCCGUGGGAACCAGCGGGAACUUGCCCGUCAGAAAAACAUGAAGAAAACACAGGAGAUUAGCAAGGGAAAAAGAAAAGAAGAUAGCUUGUCUGCCUCCCAGAGAAAGCAGAGGGAUUCUGAAAUCAUGCAACAAAAGCAGAAGGCUGCUAAUGAGAAGAAAUCUCUGCAGACAGGUGAAAAAUGAUCCACAGUAAUUCGAAGAACCAGGUGGAUCACAGGAUCUGAAAUCAAGAGUUUGUAGAAUGACCAGCCAUUAAAUAUCUAGCAGUUUAUCAUAUCCUUAGACUCGUUUACUUCCUACUUAUUUCUUUUUAGUUCAUGAUAACUUAAGCUGCAUGGUAUAGCAUAGUCUUCUAAAGUAGAACAUUUCUUCAUGCUUAUAAAAAUGAUAAAAAAAAAUUAAUGAAUCCUGUGGUUCAUAUUAAUAGCUAAAAUUAUAUAGAUAAGUAAUUUGAUACCAAAAUUAAGCUUUUAAAUCUUAAGCUUCAAAUCUUUUAUUUCUGUUGUAUCGUCAUAUUAACUUUUUGUUUGAAGUAAAGAUCCAUUACAACUCUUACUAUUGAAUUUAUAAAAAUCAAGUUUCCAUGUAACUUUUUAGAGCAUGUUUGCAUGAAAUAUCUAAACAUGAAACUUCUCUGAUUAGUAAACGUUUUAACAUCAAUCAUCUAAAUUGGCAUCUCCAUAUUUUCCAUUUAACUUUUUUAAAAAUUGGGAAGGUAUGCUGACUACCCUCUUUCAAUCCAGUAUUGACCUUGCCUAUAAAAAUGUUAACUUUCUGAAGAGAACAGAACAGAAUACAGAUCUCUAAAAGAUAUCAGCAUCUAUUAAUAGGGAGUAGAAAUAUAAUUCUGGAGGAAGUAAAAUGCCAUUUAGUGACAUUUUUAUUAAAGUAAACAUGUCCUUCCUCUUCCUUUUUUACAAAUAAAGAAACUGAGACCCCAAGACACAGUUAUACAACCAGUAAAUGCAGAGAUUCCAUCCCAGAUUUUGAGACUUUUUUUUUUUUUAAUAAGAAUCCCAUCUGAUUCAAUAAUGGAAAGAUAAAAUUUUUUUUUAAACUGGACUUGUGAUUUCAUUUGUGUAGGAAAUUCAAUGCAAAUAUGCACCUGCUCUGCAAUUUAUAAGUCUCAGAUUUGCUUGAGGCACCUGAGAUCUUAAGUCCAGAGUCACAAAAGCAUGUAUGUCAAAGAAGGACCUUGAAUCUAGUCCAUCCUGACUCUCAAGGCAAUUCAGUAAUCUAUUCUGCCAUACUAACCCUCAGAUUUAUGGUGGAUAAAAAAAGAAAGCCAUAACGGCUACAGUAACUUAUUUGUGUACAGUAACUAUGUUGCAGAAAUAGCUCAAAUUAUCAUUUGUUCAAAAUUAGACUGGUUGUGUAUUAGGGCAAGGAAGAACUUCUGACUUUCAUAUUAAUAUUUAUAGUAUAUUGUCUCCUUCACUAACAAAAUUUCUUUUUAAAUGACUGGUAUCCACUGUAUUUCUGAUAACAGUAAAUGAAAAUGUGUGAAAACUAUGUAAUACUUUAAAAGAAAGCCACACAUAAUAGUAAGUUUACUGCAAAAGCCCCUUUAAAAAAAAAAAAAAUUUUUUUAUAUGCAAUCAAAUUAGUGGGAUGAUAAAGUAACACUUACCUGGUUUACAAAUAUAUAUUUUUAAUGCUCAAAGCUUUAGCUUUUACUACAGUAGGAUACUAUUUUAGUACUGUGGAAACUGAGGCUGAAAGUACACAGCUAAUACAUGUCAGACAUAGGAUUCAAACCUAAACCACACCUCAGUCCCAAGUUCAGCAUUCUAUUAUAUAUCACAUUGCCCACUCCAUAACCCAAAAAGCAUAUAGUCACAUUUCAGCCUAAAAUAGGUUGUGACAUUCAACAUAGGAUAAUCAGAAAAGGUAGAGGACCUAGUGUUAAGAUAUAGAAAAAUAAGAUUGGUGGUGGAAGAGUAGCAAUACAAAAUAGUCUAAUUUUUAAUAAAUUCAAUGUUAAAUGGGAGACAACAGAAAUAGAGUGGUGGGUAUAUCCGAAGAUCAUACAGGUUAGAGGAGAACCUCUAUAGAAGACCUGAAAAGAAAUAAAUACCAGAAAAUCAGUGGAAAAAAAAUGACACAUUCAAUAAAGUUGUAACAGAAUACAACAUAAAUUGACACAGCAUUUCUCUAUAGUACUAACAGAAACCCAAAAGAAAUAAGAAAUUGCUUUCAAAAUAAAUACAAAAUGCAAAAAGCAAUAUGGAAGUUAAUCUUCCUACUCCAGAAACAUUCUUUAGAAAAGUAAACAAAGGCAAAUAAUUGGAGGACUAUGCCAAUAUUAAAAAAAAAAAAAAUUAUACCUAAAUUUAGGGAGAGGUUCUUUAUAGAA